UACGGAGGAUUCAAGCGUUAUCCGGAUUUAUUGGGUUUAAAGGGUGCGUAGGCGGACUGUCAAGUCAGCGGUAAAAUUGAGAGGCUCAACCUCUUCCCGCCGUUGAAACUGGUGGUCUUGAGUGGAUGAGAAGUACGCGGAAUGCGUGGUGUAGCGGUGAAACGCAUAGAUAUCACGCAGAACUCCGAUUGCGAAGGCAGCGUACCGGCAUCCAACUGACGCUGAGGCACGAAAGCGUGGGGAUCAAACAGG
This 252-nucleotide ribosomal RNA is filed under the name uncultured bacterium. RNAcentral describes it as "partial 16S ribosomal RNA". It matches the Rfam family "Bacterial small subunit ribosomal RNA", at positions 524 to 776 of the family's 1533-position model. The record is from RNAcentral.